CUGCAGCCCGAGUGGUGAUCGAUUUUAUUGAGCCUAAAGCGUCCGUAGCCGGACUAGCAAACCCUUGUGUAAAUUGGGCAGCUUAACUGUCCAAAUUCCGAGGGGACUGCUAGUCUUGGGACCGGGAGAGGUCAGAGGUACUCAAGGGGUAGGGGCUAAAUCCUGUAAUCCUUUGGGGACCACCAGUGGCGAAGGCGUCUGACUAGAACGGAUCCGACGGUAAGGGACGAAACCCUGGGGCGCGAACCGGAUUAGAUACCCGAGUAGUCC
Molecule: ribosomal RNA, 270 nt
Filed under: uncultured archaeon
Lineage: Archaea
Description: partial 16S ribosomal RNA
Rfam family: Archaeal small subunit ribosomal RNA
Source: RNAcentral